GAUGAACGCUGGCGGCGUGCUUAACACAUGCAAGUCGAACGAUGAUGCCCAGCUUGCUGGGUGGAUUAGUGGCGAACGGGUGAGUAACACGUGAGUAACCUGCCCUUGACUCUGGGAUAAGCCUGGGAAACUGGGUCUAAUACCGGAUACGACCAUCUGGCGCAUGUCAUGGUGGUGGAAAGCUUUUGUGGUUUUGGAUGGACUCGCGGCCUAUCAGCUUGUUGGUGGGGUAAUGGCCUACCAAGGCGACGACGGGUAGCCGGCCUGAGAGGGUGACCGGCCACACUGGGACUGAGACACGGCCCAGACUCCUACGGGAGGCAGCAGUGGGGAAUAUUGCGCAAUGGGCGCAAGCCUGAUGCAGCGACGCCGCGUGAGGGAUGACGGCCUUCGGGUUGUAAACCUCUUUCAGUAGGGAAGAAGCGAAAGUGACGGUACCUGCAGAAGAAGCGCCGGCUAACUACGUG
RNAcentral lists this ribosomal RNA (467 nucleotides) under uncultured bacterium. RNAcentral describes it as "partial 16S ribosomal RNA". It matches the Rfam family "Bacterial small subunit ribosomal RNA", at positions 28 to 507 of the family's 1533-position model. The record is from RNAcentral.